GGAAGUAAAAGUCGUAACAAGGUCUCCGUUGGUGAACCAGCGGAGGGAUCAUUACCGAGUUUACAACUCCCAAACCCAAUGUGAACGUUACCAAACUGUUGCCUCGGCGGGAUCUCUGCCCCGGGUGCGUCGCAGCCCCGGACCAAGGCGCCCGCCGGAGGACCAACCAAAACUCUUAUUGUAUACCCCCUCGCGGGUUUUUUUUAUAAUCUGAGCCUUCUCGGCGCCUCUCGUAGGCGUUUCGAAAAUGAAUCAAAACUUUCAACAACGGAUCUCUUGGUUCUGGCAUCGAUGAAGAACGCAGCGAAAUGCGAUAAGUAAUGUGAAUUGCAGAAUUCAGUGAAUCAUCGAAUCUUUGAACGCACAUUGCGCCCGCCAGUAUUCUGGCGGGCAUGCCUGUCCGAGCGUCAUUUCAACCCUCGAACCCCUCCGGGGGGUCGGCGUUGGGGAUCGGCCCUGCCUCUUGGCGGCGGCCGUCUCCGAAAUACAGUGGCGGUCUCGCCGCAGCCUCUCCUGCGCAGUAGUUUGCACACUCGCAUCGGGAGCGCGGCGCGUCCACAGCCGUUAAACACCCAACUUUCUGAAAUGUUGACCUCGGAUCAGGUAGGAAUACCCGCUGAACUUAAGCAUAUCAAUAAGCCGGAGGAG
RNAcentral lists this ribosomal RNA (648 nucleotides) under Trichoderma harzianum. RNAcentral describes it as "eukaryotic LSU rRNA". The stretch from base 257 to 410 matches the Rfam family "5.8S ribosomal RNA". Lineage: Eukaryota; Fungi; Ascomycota; Sordariomycetes; Hypocreales; Hypocreaceae. The record is from RNAcentral.